ACAUUUUUUGACUGGUGGUAAGCUUAACAAUGAGUUUUAUAUGGAUGCGCAAGGACAAGAACAAACCGCUUAGGUGGAAUACAUCGAGAGAAAACACAAUGACCAGAGACAAAAAGGCAACAUCACUUAUAGCUCAUAGCUGACAUGAUUCAUGUGUCUUCCCAAUAGUCGUGCCCAUGGUAGAACCAUUAGUACUCAUCACUUUUUGAUUCUAGCAACAAUUUAAAACAGAAAUCAACCUGCAUUUUGAUUGAAGUUAGGGACCAACAAAAUAAUUGGUGAUCUGCUAUGGUUAAUUACUUUGCA
Helianthus annuus (common sunflower) is the source of this 306-nucleotide long non-coding RNA. RefSeq lists it as uncharacterized. The transcript is spliced from 3 exons. The record is from RefSeq and is a predicted model, not a curated record. Lineage: Eukaryota; Viridiplantae; Streptophyta; Magnoliopsida; Asterales; Asteraceae.